AAGUUGAAGAGCUGCUCUUUAACCAAAUGAGUGGCGGACGGGUGAGUAACACGUGGGUAACCUUCCCAUUAGAGGCGGAUAACAUUCGGAAACGGAUGMUAAUACCGCAUAGUUUCCGGAAUCKCAUGAUUCUUGAAGCAAAGGUGGCUUCGGCUACCACUAAUGGAUGGACCCGCGGCGUAUUAGCUAGUUGGUGAGGUAAUGGCUCACCAAGGCAAUGAUACGUAGCCGACCUGAGAGGGUGAUCGGCCACACUGGGACUGAGACACGGCCCAGACUCCUACGGGAGGCAGCAGUAGGGAAUCUUCCGCAAUGGACGAAAGUCUGACGGAGCAACGCCGCGUGAGUGAAGAAGGUUUUCGGAUCGUAAAACUCUGUUGUUAAAGAAGAACA
RNAcentral lists this ribosomal RNA (393 nucleotides) under Carnobacterium sp. RI234. Its description in RNAcentral is "bacterial SSU rRNA". It matches the Rfam family "Bacterial small subunit ribosomal RNA", at positions 69 to 451 of the family's 1533-position model. Lineage: Bacteria; Bacillati; Bacillota; Bacilli; Lactobacillales; Carnobacteriaceae. The record is from RNAcentral.